RNAcentral lists this transfer RNA (72 nucleotides) under Actinomycetes bacterium. RNAcentral describes it as "Actinobacteria bacterium (groundwater metagenome) tRNA-Arg". It matches the Rfam family "tRNA". From Rfam's summary of the family: Transfer RNA (tRNA) molecules are approximately 80 nucleotides in length. Their secondary structure includes four short double-helical elements and three loops (D, anti-codon, and T loops). Further hydrogen bonds mediate the characteristic L-shaped molecular structure. tRNAs have two regions of fundamental functional importance: the anti-codon, which is responsible for specific mRNA codon recognition, and the 3' end, to which the tRNAs corresponding amino acid is attached (by aminoacyl-tRNA synthetases). tRNAs cope with the degeneracy of the genetic code in two manners: having more than one tRNA (with a specific anti-codon) for a particular amino acid; and 'wobble' base-pairing, i.e. permitting non-standard base-pairing at the 3rd anti-codon position. RNAcentral also lists the same sequence under 1 other name. Lineage: Bacteria; Bacillati; Actinomycetota; Actinomycetes. The record is from RNAcentral.
GCCCUCGUAGCUCAGGGGAGAGAGCGCCGGCCUCCGGAGCCGGGAGCGCAGGUUCGAAUCCUGCCGGGGGCG